RNAcentral lists this ribosomal RNA (502 nucleotides) under uncultured bacterium. RNAcentral's name for it is "partial 16S ribosomal RNA". It matches the Rfam family "Bacterial small subunit ribosomal RNA", at positions 28 to 507 of the family's 1533-position model. The record is from RNAcentral.
GAUUAACGCUGGCGGCGUGCCUAACACAUGCAAGUCGAGCGGCAGCGAGUUUUACACUGAAUUCUGGAAGCUUCUAGUUGCAAGAGAAGAUUUAUUCAAGAAUUUUGUGUAAAAUGUCGGCGAGCGGCGGACGGCUGAGUAACGCGUGGGAACGUACCCCAAAGUGAGGGAUAACGCAUCGAAAGGUGUGCUAAUACCGCAUAUGGUCUUCGGAUUAAAGCCUUCGGGCGCUUUGGGAACGGCCUGCGUAAGAUUAGAUAGUUGGUGGGGUAAUGGCCUACCAAGUCGACGAUCUUUAACUGGUUUGAGAGGAUGAACAGUCAGACUGGAACUGAGACACGGUCCAGACUCCUACGGGAGGCAGCAGUGAGGAAUCUUCCACAAUGGGCGAAAGCCUGAUGGAGCAACGCCGCGUGCAGGAUGAAGGCCUUCUGGUUGUAAACUGCUUUUAUAAGUGAGGAUUAUGACAGUAACUUAUGAAUAAGGAUCGGCUAACUACGUG